UGUUACUUGAAUAUUAAAGAUAUGAUGAUUUUGGAGGAAGAAUUAGCUAAAAGAUCAUUACAGCAUUAUUUUAUUCUACUCAACCUGCAAUAUCUGAACAAUAUUGACUAUUGUCUUGUGAAAUUAAGAGAAAGUGUUGUAGAAAGAAAAAUAUGGAAGAUAUCCCCAUGACCAGCAGAAUGUUUGUUGCUUAGGCAUUUUUAGGGGAGAUGAUGCUGUGGGAAACCUAGGGGAGACUAUGCAUAGCUUUGGGUUUGGAGGCACAGGGAAAUUCUCUAGUGCUGGAAUAUUAUCAGGUUAUUGUGAGAAGUUUGGGGUUGAAGAUACAAUCAUGUGCUGUGUUGAUCUUGAAAGUAAACCGUUGGCUUUUGUAUAGGACUCUCCCAAAACUGAAAAUGGUUGGGAUUUGCAAAGGGCUUUGAUGCUGGCCCAGCGAGUCUUCAACAGGUGGAUUCUCCGGUGAAAGAGCUUCAAUGUGAGUCAGCUCUAUUUCCUCGUGUUCUAUCGUGGUUUAGUUGCAGUUCAGUGCUGAAGAUGGCCUCCUUCCUACUUAUUGAAGAAGGCUGCAAGUCCUGGUUCAGAUGAACUUUAUGAUCAGGUCAUUUUUGUUGAACUCGGUUGAAGGGAUCAGUCAGAGAUACAUUUGGAGAAAAUGAAGCGUGCUUUAAAGACUGAAUCUCUGCCUUGUUCUCGGCAGCCUUUGAUGGAGUUAUAUGCUAGCCCGCCUCUGGAAAAUCAAGGAGCUUUACCCGGUUAUUGUAUUAUCUUUUUCAAUCCAUUUAUUCUCAUGCCAUAUAUAUAAGGUCCUGAUGGUUUUUCCAUUUGAUUUAGUUGGUAGCAGAUCCAGGAAAAUUUCUCAUCCACCUCCUCUGCCAUUGAAUUAUAGCAACCAAAAUGCCAACCCGCCACUCCUCCACCAUUGAAUUAUGGCUACCAAAGCACCAACCCACCUCCUCUGCCAUUGAAUUUCGGCUACCAAAGUACCAACUAUCUUCCUCAAUCAUUAAAUGAUGGAUCUGUUUCUAGUUUGCCUCUGUAAGGAAGCUUUAGCACUGCUAACUUCUUAAGGGACGAAGAUUUUGUCUUGUCCAUUCAUUGAUUGACUGCUACCAGAGUAUAUACAUUGAUAAGUAGUGGCUAAUGUGUUAACAACACACACAAUAUAUCAGGGAUUUGGAUCUUCUUAGGGGGCAUAUCAAAGCUAUCAAGCUCCUACACCUAGAGCUUCUGUUCCUCGGAGCACUAAUGAAAGUUCUGUACCAAGAAAUAACAUUGGUUCCUCUGGGAGCUAUGGUGUCAUUUCUGGUGGUAGAGCUGACUCUUUCCAGAACUAUGGAUUUGUUGAUCCAUAUGGCAGAGCAAACUCUGAUGGUGAGAAUACUGCCGUUGGUGGUGCUGCUACUUCCGACCCCUACUGGAGCAAUAUGGAAGAACCCUCCCAUAAGGGAGCCAAAAGGACUUCUUCAUUUACAUACAGUAAUAUUGGAUGUCACCCUACCAGCCUGCAGGCUCCAAGUUUAUCGACAUAUUUUCCCAGUCCUUCUCUUCAUACGGUUUUCUUCAUCGAUCUCCUCGCUUUCCAUUAUCUGCAAUAUCUCCGACUCCAUCACCAAGGCCCCCAUAUGCAAAUCUUGCUGCUGGCAUGCAGCAUUCUGUAAGAUACAACCCUAGCUCCUCCUCCGAGAUAUUACUGAUCACCGUAUAGGCUUGCCGUCAUUUCUCAAGACUUUGGAGAUCACACUUCCACACUUAAGACUAGAAAUCGAGAAGGCCAAGUUCCGGUCCAUGUUAAACUGCAGAAAUUUUGUAUACAUGGAAUUAAUGAGUACCGUUCAAAGGCCCCCUUCAAAAAUUUUGUAAAUACUACUGCUAACUAUAAGAUUUUGUUAACUUCAUGUGAGACUAUGAUUGGGAUCAAAGUUCUGUGAAACAUCCAUGUAAAAUCUUUCACUUGACUAGAUGUAGUUAUAUAAGAGUUUAGGUCUUAAUUAGUGAGUUGGCUGCUAGCUGCAAGUUUUCGAAGAACUGCGUGUAAUAUCUAACAGAGAAAUUACGAAACCACAGAACUAGAAGGAAAGGUUGAGGUCCCAUAUGUUUUGCACCUGAUCUCCAGACCAUGUGAUAAGCAUCUCUAAAGCUGCAUAUUCCUUGUCGCCAAUCCAUGCUUUGAACCCCACCAUAAACCCUCGAUGUUCUUUCAAGUUCCAAUCAUUUCUUUCCAUUAUUUUCUUAGAAGUCAAGUUAGGGUUUUAAGUGGACCAAAUGCCACCUACAAGUAUGACAGUAGAGAGAGAGAGAGAGAGAGAGAGAGAUUUCUAUUCGUUUCAGUAUCAGACCAAACCAGGAGGCUUGCAGAACCUAAAAGCUUCGCAUUUUGCUUCUUUUUUCUUUUCUAGUUUACUCUUUCUUCGAGUAGCUUUUCAUUGAUCAAUAAAAUGCUUUUCUUGAUGGGGACAUCUUACCUUUAAUGGAGA
Long non-coding RNA from Populus trichocarpa (black cottonwood), 2474 nucleotides. RefSeq lists it as uncharacterized. The record is from RefSeq and is a predicted model, not a curated record. The transcript has 3 exons. NCBI's taxonomy places the organism in Eukaryota, Viridiplantae, Streptophyta, Magnoliopsida, Malpighiales, Salicaceae.